Molecule: ribosomal RNA, 395 nt
Filed under: uncultured bacterium
Lineage: Bacteria
Description: bacterial SSU rRNA
Rfam family: Bacterial small subunit ribosomal RNA
Source: RNAcentral
AUGCCAGAGAUGGCUUGGUGCUCGAAAGAGAACCGUAACACAGGUGCUGCAUGGCUGUCGUCAUCUCGUGUCGUGAGAUGUUGGGUUAAGUCCCGCAACGAGCGCAACCCUUGUCAUUAGUUGCUACAUUUGGUUGGGCACUCUAAUGAGACUGCCGGUGACAAACCGGAGGAAGGUGGGGAUGACGUCAAGUCCUCAUGGCCCUUAUAGGUAGGGCUACACACGUCAUACAAUGGAUGGUACAGAGGGUCGCCAACCCGCGAGGGGGAGCUAAUCCCAUAAAACCAUUCGUAGUCCGGAUCGCAGUCUGCAACUCGACUGCGUGAAGUCGGAAUCGCUAGUAAUCGCGGAUCAGAAUGUCGCGGUGAAUACGUUCCCGGGUCUUGUACACACCG